Molecule: ribosomal RNA, 443 nt
Filed under: uncultured bacterium
Lineage: Bacteria
Description: partial 16S ribosomal RNA
Rfam family: Bacterial small subunit ribosomal RNA
Source: RNAcentral
CCUACGGGAGGCAGCAGUGGGGAAUAUUGGACAAUGGGGGGAACCCUGAUCCAGCGACGCCGCGUGAGUGAAGAAGUAUUUCGGUAUGUAAAGCUCUAUCAGCAGGGAAGAAAGAAAUGACGGUACCUGACUAAGAAGCCCCGGCUAACUACGUGCCAGCAGCCGCGGUAAUACGUAGGGGGCAAGCGUUAUCCGGAUUUACUGGGUGUAAAGGGAGCGUAGACGGCAGUGCAAGUCUGGAGUGAAAGGCGGGGGCUCAACCCCCGGACUGCUCUGGAAACUGUACGGCUGGAGUGCAGGAGAGGUAAGUGGAAUUCCUAGUGUAGCGGUGAAAUGCGUAGAUAUUAGGAGGAACACCAGUGGCGAAGGCGGCUUACUGGACUGUAACUGACGUUGAGGCUCGAAAGCGUGGGGAGCAAACAGGAUUAGAUACCCGGGUAGUC